CCCAAUUAGUAGGUUUCGAGCAACAAAAUCACUGAACCCGGUCCAAUUUGUGUUUUAGUUGCUUCAAGAACCAGGGUUUGGCUCAGAAGCUGUGGAACCUGGUUUUGCUGCGUAGCGUGGUCGACAAUCCGCAGCGAAAAUGGUGAGGGAGAAUCUCAUUCGUUUACUGUUUAAGCUAAUUGGAACCAUUCUUCAUUCUGACAUGUGCCGGAAUUUUUUGUAGCCUUCUCACAAAACUUUCAGGAUCAAGAAGAAGCUCGCGAAGAAGAUGAGGCAGAACAGACCCAUCCCUUACUGGAUCCGCAUGAGGACCGAUAACACCAUCAGGUACAAUGCUAAGCGCAGGCACUGGCGCCGCACUAAACUUGGAUUUUAAGCACGAUGUAAACCUUCGACUCGAGAUUCAUAUUUUUGUUUUCUAGAAUGUUACAAGGGAUGUCGGAAUGAUGUAGCUUUGGUCAUCUGGUCACAGAGAGGUCAUUGUACAGUGUUUCCACAACCCUAGUUUUGUAUUCUUUUUUAUAUUUCUUGCUGUUAAUGUGAAACUUUAGUUUUUUGCUUUCGAUAUUUUUGUCUCUUUUUCUUUCAUAUUUCGAAUCUUAAUUUUGUGGAAUUCUUGAAUGGUGCUUGAUGGAAUUUAUACUUCGAAGGUUUAACCAUGAAUAAAUUUUCAAUGUAACUGACCUUAAUAACUGCAAUACAUA
This 704-nucleotide small RNA is filed under the name Vigna angularis var. angularis. RNAcentral's name for it is "Non-protein coding transcript". The record is from RNAcentral. Lineage: Eukaryota; Viridiplantae; Streptophyta; Magnoliopsida; Fabales; Fabaceae.